GGCAGCACGGGUGCUUGCACCUGGUGGCGAGUGGCGAACGGGUGAGUAAUGCGUCGGAACGUACCGAGUAAUGGGGGAUAACGCAGCGAAAGUUGUGCUAAUACCGCAUACGCCCUGAGGGGGAAAGUGGGGGACCGCAAGGCCUCACGUUAUUCGAGCGGCCGACGUCUGAUUAGCUAGUUGGUGGGGUAAAGGCCUACCAAGGCGACGAUCAGUAGCGGGUCUGAGAGGAUGAUCCGCCACACUGGGACUGAGACACGGCCCAGACUCCUACGGGAGGCAGCAGUGGGGAAUUUUGGACAAUGGGCGCAAGCCUGAUCCAGCCAUUCCGCGUGAGUGAAGAAGGCCUUCGGGUUGUAAAGCUCUUUCGGCAGGAACGAAACGGCGGGCUCUAACAUAGCCUGUUACUGACGGUACCUGCAGAAGAAGCACCGGCUAACUACGUGCCAGCAGCCGCGGUAAUACGUAGGGUGCGAGCGUUAAUCGGAAUUACUGGGCGUAAAGCGUGCGCAGGCGGAUUGUUAAGCAAGACGUGAAAUCCCCGGGCUUAACCUGGGAAUGGCGUUUUGAACUGGCAGUCUAGAGUGCGUCAGAGGGGGGUGGAAUUCCACGUGUAGCAGUGAAAUGCGUAGAGAUGUGGAGGAACACCGAUGGCGAAGGCAGCCCCCUGGGAUGACACUGACGCUCAUGUACGAAAGCGUGGGUAGCAAACAGGAUUAGAUACCCUGGUAGUCCACGCUGUAAACGAUG
Molecule: ribosomal RNA, 750 nt
Filed under: uncultured bacterium
Lineage: Bacteria
Description: bacterial SSU rRNA
Rfam family: Bacterial small subunit ribosomal RNA
Source: RNAcentral